RNAcentral lists this ribosomal RNA (319 nucleotides) under uncultured eukaryote. Its description in RNAcentral is "partial 18S ribosomal RNA". It matches the Rfam family "Eukaryotic small subunit ribosomal RNA", at positions 1470 to 1796 of the family's 1831-position model. The record is from RNAcentral.
CCCUUAGAUGUUCUGGGCUGCGCGCGUGCUACAAUGGCGUUUCCAGCAAGUCUGCGAACCCGAGAGGGCCAGCGGAUCUUCGAAUUGGCGUCGUGAUCGGGACAGUCGAUUGCAAUUAUUUGACUCAAACGAGGAAUUCCUUGUAAUCGCGAUUCAUCAUAUCGCGCUGAAUACGUCCCUGCCCUUUGUACACACCGCCCGUCGCUCCUACCGAUUGAGCGAUCCGGUAAAUGUUUUGGAUUGGUGCCGGGGCGGCUAGCUGCCGGUCGCUACGAAAUUUUGUGAACCUUAUCGCUUAGAGGAAGGAAAAGUCGUAACA